RNAcentral lists this ribosomal RNA (427 nucleotides) under uncultured Bacillus sp. RNAcentral's name for it is "bacterial SSU rRNA". It matches the Rfam family "Bacterial small subunit ribosomal RNA", at positions 355 to 774 of the family's 1533-position model. The record is from RNAcentral. Lineage: Bacteria; Bacillati; Bacillota; Bacilli; Caryophanales; Bacillaceae.
UAGGGAAUCUUCCGCAAUGGACGAAAGUCUGACGGAGCAACGCCGCGUGAGCGAUGAAGGCCUUCGGGUCGUAAAGCUCUGUUGUCAGGGAAGAACAAGUGCGGGAGUAACUGCCCGCACCUUGACGGUACCUGACCAGAAAGCCACGGCUAACUACGUGCCAGCAGCCGCGGUAAUACGUAGGUGGCAAGCGUUGUCCGGAAUUAUUGGGCGUAAAGCGCGCGCAGGCGGUCCCUUAAGUCUGAUGUGAAAGCCCCCGGCUUAACCGGGGAGGGUCAUUGGAAACUGGGGGACUUGAGUGCAGAAGAGAAGAGCGGAAUUCCAUGUGUAGCGGUGAAAUGCGCAGAGAUAUGGAGGAACACCAGUGGCGAAGGCGGCUCUUUGGUCUGUAACUGACGCUGAGGCGCGAAAGCGUGGGGAGCAAACA